AUUGUCAAAGCUGGCACAAUGAAGAGGAAGAUAAGCUGAUGGAAGCUCCUGAGCCACCAGUGGAGGAGCAGCAGAUCUGAGCUUGGAAUGCGGCUGCUCUGCAAAGGCCCGUGGAAGCCAUUUGUCGAAGACUCUUUCAAGAAGAUGUGGGGCAAGGUGAUCCCCAGGAUUGGCUGCAGCUAGAGCCUCCUGCUAUCACUGCUGUAUGGUGUUGCACUGGACGCCACGUCCAUUCUAGUCCACAUGCACACUAGAAUCCAGAAAGCCCCCAUCGAAGGCCUUGUUUACCUAUCACCAGGCCAGGGCCCUGCACGUGGCAUCAGACAGCUCUGCUCCUUACAUGCAGGGGCCUGCUGGGACCCCCUCACACCAGCACCCCCAUGUCUCUGACUCAGUGCCGCAGCUGCUUCAUUCCGCGGGGAAGUACCAGCACAUCAGAACACCCAGCCGCGCCCGCAGUGGUGCCUUAUGAGGACCUGGGAGUGUAGCAGCACUCGCCCACCACGGCGAGCCCCGCCCACCGACUGAAGUGUGGCCCAGGCCCGGCCGACUGAAGGACUCGUUCCUGCUGCCACAUGGGCUGUGAUUGGCACCGCUUUCCCACAAACCAGCAAAUGAAAAUAUUCCCUUCUUCCAGCCUUACCCUUGAGAUUCAUAUUUGAUUUAUUUUCUUCUGUCUUAACCCGUUUUAAAACUCCGGAAGUCCUGUUCCAAAGUCCACGCACAGCCUUACCUCUCUGGCCUGGCCUGCCCGCCUGCCUCAGCCAUGCCAGUCCUCUCCGACCCUCGGA
Talpa occidentalis (Iberian mole) is the source of this 791-nucleotide long non-coding RNA. RefSeq lists it as uncharacterized. Lineage: Eukaryota; Metazoa; Chordata; Mammalia; Eulipotyphla; Talpidae. The transcript has 3 exons. The record is from RefSeq and is a predicted model, not a curated record.